CCCUUAGACGUUCUGGGCCGCACGCACGCUACACUGACCGGUGCAACAAGCAUCCGUCCUUGGCCGACAGGCCCGGGCAAUCUUUGAACGCCGGUCGUGAUGGGGAUAGACUUUUGCAAUUUUUGGUCUUCAACGAGGAAUUCCUAGUAAACGCAAGUCAUCAACUUGCAUUGAUUACGUCCCUGCCCUUUGUACACACCGCCCGUCGCACCUACCGAUUGAAUGGUCCGGUGAAGCCUCCGGAUUGGCGCGCACCUCGGUGCCGCCGAGAAGUUGGCUAAACCUUACCAUUUAGAGGAAGGUGAAGUCGUAACA
This 315-nucleotide ribosomal RNA is filed under the name uncultured eukaryote. RNAcentral's name for it is "partial 18S ribosomal RNA". It matches the Rfam family "Eukaryotic small subunit ribosomal RNA", at positions 1470 to 1796 of the family's 1831-position model. The record is from RNAcentral.